UACGUAGGGUGCAAGCGUUUGUCCGGAAUUAUUGGGCGUAAAGAGCUCGUAGGCGGUCUGUCGCGUCUGCUGUGAAAACCUAGGGCUUAACUCUGGGCGUGCAGUGGGUACGGGCAGGCUAGAGUGCGGUAGGGGAGACUGGAAUUCCUGGUGUAGCGGUGAAAUGCGCAGAGUAUCAGGAGGAACACCGGUGGCGAAGGCGGGUCUCUGGGCCGUAACUGACGCUGAGGAGCGAAAGCAUGGGGAGCGAACAGG
Molecule: ribosomal RNA, 255 nt
Filed under: uncultured bacterium
Lineage: Bacteria
Description: partial 16S ribosomal RNA
Rfam family: Bacterial small subunit ribosomal RNA
Source: RNAcentral